Molecule: ribosomal RNA, 468 nt
Filed under: uncultured bacterium
Lineage: Bacteria
Description: partial 16S ribosomal RNA
Rfam family: Bacterial small subunit ribosomal RNA
Source: RNAcentral
GACGAACGCUGGCGGCGUGCUUAACACAUGCAAGUCGAACGGAAAGGCCCUGCUUUUGUGGGGUGCUCGAGUGGCGAACGGGUGAGUAACACGUGAGUAACCUGCCCUUGACUUUGGGAUAACUUCAGGAAACUGGGGCUAAUACCGGAUAGGAGCUCCUGCUGCAUGGUGGGGGUUGGAAAGUUUCGGCGGUUGGGGAUGGGCUCGCGGCUUAUCAGCUUGUUGGUGGGGUAGUGGCUUACCAAGGCUUUGACGGGUAGCCGGCCUGAGAGGGUGACCGGCCACAUUGGGACUGCGAUACGGCCCAGACUCCUACGGGAGGCAGCAGUGGGGAAUAUUGCACAAUGGGCGGAAGCCUGAUGCAGCAACGCCGCGUGCGGGAUGACGGCCUUCGGGUUGUAAACCGCUUUCGCCUGUGACGAAGCGUGAGUGACGGUAAUGGGUAAAGAAGCACCGGCUAACUACGUG